Molecule: ribosomal RNA, 253 nt
Filed under: uncultured bacterium
Lineage: Bacteria
Description: partial 16S ribosomal RNA
Rfam family: Bacterial small subunit ribosomal RNA
Source: RNAcentral
UACGUAGGGUGCGAGCGUUGUCCGGAAUUACUGGGCGUAAAGAGCUUGUAGGUGGUUUGUCGCGUUGUUCGUGAAAUCUCACGGCUUAACUGUGAGCGUGCGGGCGAUACGGGCAGACUAGAGUACUGCAGGGGAGACUGGAAUUCCUGGUGUAGCGGUGGAAUGCGCAGAUAUCAGGAGGAACACCGGUGGCGAAGGCGGAUCUCUGGGCCGUAACUGACGCUGAGGAGCGAAAGCAUGGGGAGCGAACAGG